This is a long non-coding RNA of Zingiber officinale, 685 nucleotides long. RefSeq lists it as uncharacterized. The record is from RefSeq and is a predicted model, not a curated record. The transcript has 4 exons. NCBI's taxonomy places the organism in Eukaryota, Viridiplantae, Streptophyta, Magnoliopsida, Zingiberales, Zingiberaceae.
CACAGUAGAACUCUCCUCUCUGCUCGCGUCUCCUUCUCGCGUCUGCUAGGGCACAGUGCCCCUUUCUCUUCUUCUUCCUUUUCUCCGGCCGGCGGCUUCUUCUCUUCCCUUGCCACCGGCCGGCCAGCUCUUCCCAACCUCCUCUUCUGCGAUCUGCUCCAAGCGGCGACGGCAGCAAACGCCGGCGGCUACUUUGAAGCGACGACCUCAACUAGGGUUUCUAUUCGGCGAGGCGUUCUUCUUCGGCAAGCAUCCCUCUUCAUCCCUUCCUCAGUGUAGCUUCUCCUGCGGACGGCGUUCCGAAAGCAGCGGGUUCCAACAGAGGAAGCCGACUGUCCCUUCUUCUCCGGCGAAUUUCUUCUGCUUCCAUCACUGAGCAGUGUUGUGGCUUCCUGCGGAUGGUGUUCCGAAGGCAGGAACUCCAGCAACUUCAGUCUACAAUUCCAGCAGAAGCAAGUGGCAUCUCAGUGUGUCAAUUUACAGUGCUGGCUUUUGAACUGCACUUGCUUGCCACAAAGCAUCAGAUGUUUCAUCUGAUUCCAACACCUCAGGAGCUUUUAUGUACUCAAUGACAUAUUCCAUCUCAACGUGCUCAUUACAAAGAUUCUAGGAUACACUUGGAGGAAUGAUAGCUUGGCCUUAUCAUCUGGUGCCUUCAAGAGUACUGGGAAGAAUGCCGACAAAC